CGCCCCUGUUUCUGAUGGAGGACCCCAAUAAAGUCUCGCGCUGGUGUGUGGGCUCGCUCUCUCUCGCUCGCUGUCUUGAACGACCUCACAGAGCUCGUGUAGGUUUGCUGAUGUGUCCUUUGCCUGCAGCAUAUUGGAGAAGGUUUUACAAGAUUGCACAUGUGAAAAGCAUGGGUUUGAUUCCCACCCAAUCCCCUACCACUGGGUGCGUUGCCAGUCCCAAGAUUGGAUGAGAUGAGAGGGUUGCAUAAGGAAGGGCAUCCCGGGUAAAACCUCUGCCAAAUUGUGUGUGGAUUGAAUGGUCUGCUCAUGUGGCGACCCCUUGACAUGAGCAGCCGAAAGAUGGGAUGAAGUGUCGUUUUCAAUGUUUACCAUCGAACAUCUAACUAAGAUCAGAUGAUUCGUGUCAUCACAAGAAAGAAGCUCUGAGGUUCAGGCUGGGGUUUAGAACCUUUUUUUAGGAAGGAGCUGAUUUUUUGUACCCCGAGUACAAAAGAUUGAUUCAGGUUGCGUUGCAGAGCCGUUGAAGCGGAAUAGAGAAAAUGCUUGUCUGUCAACAUGAUCAUUUUGUGCAUUGAUGUAAAUAAAGUUCUGAAGUUACACAAAGA
Clarias gariepinus (North African catfish) is the source of this 608-nucleotide long non-coding RNA. RefSeq lists it as uncharacterized. NCBI's taxonomy places the organism in Eukaryota, Metazoa, Chordata, Actinopteri, Siluriformes, Clariidae. The record is from RefSeq and is a predicted model, not a curated record. The transcript is spliced from 6 exons.